This 436-nucleotide ribosomal RNA is filed under the name uncultured bacterium. Its description in RNAcentral is "partial 16S ribosomal RNA". It matches the Rfam family "Bacterial small subunit ribosomal RNA", at positions 29 to 507 of the family's 1533-position model. The record is from RNAcentral.
AACGAACGCUGGCGGCAUGCCUAACACAUGCAAGUCGAACGAGAUCCUUCGGGGUCUAGUGGCGCACGGGUGCGUAACGCGUGGGAAUCUGCCCUUAGGUUCGGAAUAACAGUUAGAAAUGACUGCUAAUACCGGAUGAUGACGUUAAGUCCAAAGAUUUAUCGCCUGAGGAUGAGCCCGCGUAGGAUUAGCUAGUUGGUGUGGUAAAGGCACACCAAGGCGACGAUCCUUAGCUGGUCUGAGAGGAUGAUCAGCCACACUGGGACUGAGACACGGCCCAGACUCCUACGGGAGGCAGCAGUGGGGAAUAUUGGACAAUGGGCGCAAGCCUGAUCCAGCAAUGCCGCGUGAGUGAUGAAGGCCUUAGGGUUGUAAAGCUCUUUUACCCGGGAUGAUAAUGACAGUACCGGGAGAAUAAGCCCCGGCUAACUCCGUG